AAUGAACGCUGGCGGCGUGCUUAACACAUGCAAGUCGAACGAGGCGGAGGGGGCAACCCUCCAGUCGAGUGGCGGACGGGUGAGUAACACGUGGGUAACCUGCCCGGAAGUGGGGAACACCUCGGGGAAACUCGAGCUAAUACCGCAUGACAUCUUCGGGACGAAAGUCCUGACGAUCAAAGCGGGGCGCAAGGCCUCGCGCUUCCGGAUGGGCCCGCGCCCGAUUAGCUAGUUGGCGAGGUAACGGCUCACCAAGGCUUCGAUCGGUAACCGGCCUGAGAGGGCGAUCGGUCACACCGGAACUGAGACACGGUCCGGACUCCUACGGGAGGCAGCAGUGGGGAAUCUUGCGCAAUGGGCGAAAGCC
This 367-nucleotide ribosomal RNA is filed under the name uncultured bacterium. Its description in RNAcentral is "bacterial SSU rRNA". It matches the Rfam family "Bacterial small subunit ribosomal RNA", at positions 29 to 383 of the family's 1533-position model. The record is from RNAcentral.